GACGAACGCUGGCGGCGUGCUUAACACAUGCAAGUCGAACGGUAAGGCCUUUCGGGGUACACGAGUGGCGAACGGGUGAGUAACACGUGGGUGAUCUGCCCUGCACUUCGGGAUAAGCCCGGGAAACUGGGUCUAAUACCGGAUAGGACUGCGCGGUGCAUGCCGUGUGGUGGAAAGAUUUAUCGGUGCAGGAUGGGCCCGCGGCCUGUCAGCUUGUUGGUGGGGUAAUGGCCUACCAAGGCGACGACGGGUAGCCGGCCUGAGAGGGCGACCGGCCAGACUGGGACUGAGACACGGCCCAGACUCCUACGGGAGGCAGCAGUGGGGAAUAUUGCACAAUGGGCGCAAGCCUGAUGCAGCGACGCCGCGUGAGGGAUGACGGCCUUCGGGUUGUAAACCUCUUUCAGCAGGGACGAAGCGUGAGUGACGGUACCUGCAGAAGAAGCACCGGCCAACUACGUG
Molecule: ribosomal RNA, 462 nt
Filed under: uncultured bacterium
Lineage: Bacteria
Description: partial 16S ribosomal RNA
Rfam family: Bacterial small subunit ribosomal RNA
Source: RNAcentral